This 420-nucleotide ribosomal RNA is filed under the name PAH-contaminated sludge bacterium PB-32. RNAcentral describes it as "bacterial SSU rRNA". It matches the Rfam family "Bacterial small subunit ribosomal RNA", at positions 46 to 481 of the family's 1533-position model. The record is from RNAcentral. Lineage: Bacteria; Bacillati; Actinomycetota; Actinomycetes; Mycobacteriales; Nocardiaceae.
GCUUAACACAUGCAAGUCGAGCGGUAAGGCCUUUCGGGGUACACGAGCGGCGAACGGGUGAGUAACACGUGGGUGAUCUGCCCUGCACUUCGGGAUAAGCCUGGGAAACUGGGUCUAAUACCGGAUAUGACCUCCUAUCGCAUGGUGGGUGGUGGAAAGAUUUAUCGGUGCAGGAUGGGCCCGCGGCCUAUCAGCUUGUUGGUGGGGUAAUGGCCUACCAAGGCGACGACGGUUAGCCGACCUGAGAGGGUGACCGGCCACACUGGGACUGAGACACGGCCCAGACUCCUACGGGAGGCAGCAGUGGGGAAUAUUGCACAAUGGGCGAAAGCCUGAUGCAAGCGACGCCGCGUGAGGGAUGACGGCCUUCGNGUUGUAAACCUCUUUCAAGCAGGGACGAAGCGCAAGUGACGGUACCUG